Molecule: ribosomal RNA, 463 nt
Filed under: uncultured bacterium
Lineage: Bacteria
Description: bacterial SSU rRNA
Rfam family: Bacterial small subunit ribosomal RNA
Source: RNAcentral
CAGGCCUAACACAUGCAAGUCGAACGGUAACAGGUCUUCGGAUGCUGACGAGUGGCGAACGGGUGAGUAAUACAUCGGAACGUGCCCAAUCGUGGGGGAUAACACAUCGAAAGAUGUGCUAAUACCGCAUAAGAUCUACGGAUGAAAGCGGGGGAUCGCAAGACCUCGCGCGAAUGGAGCGGCCGAUGGCAGAUUAGGUAGUUGGUGGGGUAAAGGCCUACCAAGCCGACGAUCUGUAGCUGGUCUGAGAGGACGACCAGCCACACUGGGACUGAGACACGGCCCAGACUCCUACGGGAGGCAGCAGUGGGGAAUUUUGGACAAUGGGCGCAAGCCUGAUCCAGCAAUGCCGCGUGCAGGAUGAAGGCCUUCGGGUUGUAAACUGCUUUUGUACGGAGCGAAAAGGUUUCUCUAAUACAGAAGGCCCAUGACGGUACCGUAAGAAUAAGCACCGGCUACUCUG